RNAcentral lists this ribosomal RNA (275 nucleotides) under uncultured bacterium. RNAcentral's name for it is "partial 16S ribosomal RNA". It matches the Rfam family "Bacterial small subunit ribosomal RNA", at positions 45 to 334 of the family's 1533-position model. The record is from RNAcentral.
AUGCCUAACACAUGCAAGUCGAACGCCCCGCAAGGGGCGUGGCGCACGGGUGAGUAACGCGUGGGAACCUGCCCUUGAGUGGGGGAUAACCCGGCGAAAGCCGGGCUAAUACCGCAUACGUCCUGUUGUCGUGGAGAUGGCGGGAGAAAGAUUUAUCGCUCAAGGAGGGGCCCGCGUGGGAUUAGCUAGUUGGUGAGGUAACGGCUCACCAAGGCGAUGAUCCCUAGCUGGUCUGAGAGGAUGAUCAGCCACACUGGGACUGAGACACGGCCCAG